CGGGAGCUUGUACAGGUGCUGCAUGGCUGUCGUCAGCUCGUGUCGUGAGAUGUCGGUUAAGUCCGCUAACGAGCCGCAACCCUCGCUGUGUGUUACAAGUGUCACACGGAACUGCCGGUCAUAACCGGAGGAAGUGGGAUGACGUCAAGUCAGCAUGGCCUUUAUAUCCUGGGCUACACACACGCUACAAUGGGAAGGGACAAUAGGUUGCGAAGCCGCGAGGCGGAGCCAAUCCAGCAAACUUCCCUCAGUUCAGAUUGCAGGCUGCAACUCGCCUGCAUGAAGUUGGAGUUGCUAGUAAACGCAGGUCAGCCAUACUGCGUUGAAUACGUUCCCGGGGCUU
RNAcentral lists this ribosomal RNA (343 nucleotides) under uncultured Anaerolineaceae bacterium. Its description in RNAcentral is "bacterial SSU rRNA". It matches the Rfam family "Bacterial small subunit ribosomal RNA", at positions 1023 to 1382 of the family's 1533-position model. Lineage: Bacteria; Bacillati; Chloroflexota; Anaerolineae; Anaerolineales; Anaerolineaceae. The record is from RNAcentral.